Molecule: long non-coding RNA, 1131 nt
Filed under: Hordeum vulgare
Lineage: Eukaryota; Viridiplantae; Streptophyta; Magnoliopsida; Poales; Poaceae
Description: long non-coding RNA (HVUL_LNC000846)
Source: RNAcentral
CCGCCCCCCGGCCCCGCGUCCUCUGCAGGAGUUCGUCGGCGGACAUGGGGAUCUCGUUCAAGCUAUCUAAGGUCGGCCUUCGCGUGCAACCGACCGCGCGGUCUGCCGCUCCGGGGCUACCGGCCGCGGCGGAGACGGAGAAGCCGGGCGCCGGUGAGAAGGAUGGUUCGAGGCCGGAAGCCAAACGGGAGGUAAGCCGUGUUUCUACCGGCUGGGUUCGGCCGCGGGGUGGCCCAGACGAUCCGGGCACGCAAAGUUGUAGUCUUUUGUGUGAUAGGGGAGGAAAUUCGGGUUUUGGCCUGCAAUUUUUGGCUUUUCGCGUCGAAUUUGCGGCUGCGGGGAUGAUCCGUGGUUGUGUCCACGGAAAGGGUCAGAAUUUCCCGGUGAUUUCUACUCGAGAGUUCUUCGUUCAGCUCCCUAGUAGAGGAUUUCUAGGCCCAAUUACAUUGUUGUUCGAAAUGGGUGCCAAUUGCAUGUUCGAAGAUUGCAAUCUGGUGGGCUCCUCGAUUGCAAAAUUUUAUACAGCAUUUCCUUCAUAAAGUAGCCAGAUUUAAUGACAUCUUCAUUAGAAAAGUACUCCCUAUCACACAAAUGAAGAUGUAGUUAAUUCUGUCUACUAAUCUAAAUGAAGAUGUUACAGUAAAAAAUAGUGGACCUUCUAGUGAUAACUACGCAUAAUGUACUCCCUCCAUACCAAAAUAUAAAAUAUUUUUGCAGUUCAAAUUGAACUACAAAAGCGUCUUAUAUUUGGGUACAGAGGUAGUAGUACUCCAUUGUAAUUGCAAAUGAGUACAUUAUAUUACCUCCGUUCAGAAAUAAGUGGCACUGUUUUAGUUCAAAUUUAAACUAAAACAGCUUCACUUAUUUCCGAAUGGAGAAAUAGUUAUCACUAGAAGGUCCACUAUUUUUACUGUAACAUAUCCGAUAAAUGCUUCUAGUAAUCUAAGUUCAAAACUCAGAGCAUGCUGCUCUUGGUAACUCUGUAUACUGUAGGUUUGGGCGCUUGCUGAUUUGAGCGUCAUUGAUACAAUCAGCAGCAGCAAUGUGUUUUUCUGUUCUCAGGUCCGCACAAAUGCUUUUAGCGAAGGUGCUUUCUUUUUGCCGGGACAGUACUUUAAUUUGAAGGAGCAG